AAUGGGAUUAGAAAUAUACAGGGAUGGCA
Molecule: non-coding RNA, 29 nt
Filed under: Cricetulus griseus (Chinese hamster)
Lineage: Eukaryota; Metazoa; Chordata; Mammalia; Rodentia; Cricetidae
Source: RNAcentral